UACGUAGGGUGCAAGCGUUAAUCGGAAUUACUGGGCGUAAAGCGUGCGCAGGCGGCUUUGCAAGACAGAUGUGAAAUCCCCGGGCUCAACCUGGGAACUGCAUUUGUGACUGCAGGGCUGGAGUACGGCAGAGGGGGAUGGAAUUCCGCGUGUAGCAGUGAAAUGCGUAGAUAUGCGGAGGAACACCGAUGGCGAAGGCAGUCCCCUGGGCCUGUACUGACGCUCAUGCACGAAAGCGUGGGGAGCAAACAGG
RNAcentral lists this ribosomal RNA (253 nucleotides) under uncultured bacterium. RNAcentral describes it as "partial 16S ribosomal RNA". It matches the Rfam family "Bacterial small subunit ribosomal RNA", at positions 524 to 776 of the family's 1533-position model. The record is from RNAcentral.